CUCCCUGGACAAGACUUAGCCUCAAACCCUGAAGCUACAGGAUGGAGUUUAAUGAGUCGAGAAGCAGAAUGGCGUUUUCAGAUUCUGCUGCUGUAAUGAUUUGGAUCAAUAUCCGUGUUUGCCUCCCCUUUACUCUCCUGCUCAUCGCUUUGAGCUGCAUGAUGAGACUGGAUCAUGGUCCUGUUGCCUACUACAUAACCCUGCUCUUCUUUAACCUGAUUCAGUUCAUCUAUCUGGUUGUAUCUCUUAUUCCUGAUUAUUACUGGAGACCUUAUGUUCCAGUGGAAAUUUAUGCCCUUUUUGCAGUGACCAGUC
Molecule: long non-coding RNA, 315 nt
Organism: Fundulus heteroclitus (mummichog)
Lineage: Eukaryota; Metazoa; Chordata; Actinopteri; Cyprinodontiformes; Fundulidae
Exons: 3
Source: RefSeq, a predicted model, not a curated record